GAGAGGAUCUUGCCUUGUUUCUCAGGCUGGCCUUAAACUCCUGGGCUUAAGUAAUCCUCCUGCCCCAGACUUCUAAUUGGCUGGGACUACAGGCAUGUACCACUGUGCCUAGUAGUUUAAUUAGUGUGAUGCAUCAUUUAUAAUCUGUGUAAGCCAAUUAUUAUGUCCCAUCACUAUACUCAUCUUGCUUACCCUUGAUUGUCCUUCGGGAAUAAGAAUUGAAUGAACUGGAAUUGUGAAGAAGAGGGUUCUCAUUACUGUUUUUAUUUUCCCUUUAUUCUUUAAUUUUACCCUCAGUUUCUUCUAGGAAUUACUUUACUCUGGGAAUGUUCUUAAUCACUGACUAGAGAUGAAGAUAAAAUGAAAUUUGGUCACCUUCAUAAGAUGUUGAUAUUCUAGUCCAUUUGCUAAUUUUAGUCUAAAUAGUAGGGAAAGGAUUUGAACCAUAAACAUAAAUUCAGUCUUAAAACAUUAUUCUUAAACCGUAUUUACCUGCAUUGAAGACAUACAUUGUAUUUGCCAACUCAAUAGAAGAACAGACAUAUACUUGAUUGUAGAUAAAUAAUACAAAAGAAAGGAGCUCCUCCUUUUCUCUUUCCCAACUUGAGUAUCAUCACACCCCUUUCCUUUCAGCACCCAGAGUUCCUUUUGUUUCUAUUAUUCCCCCUAAACCUAGAGCUCACUGAAAUUAAAAAGAAUGCUGUGGUUCCUCUCGGGACUGUUGGGUGACUUGAGCCUUUGACAAAUGCAUUACCCUAGGUUUUUUCAUCUCCAGCCCCUCAGCUUCCAGUAUUGCACAGUUGCUGUAUAUAAUUCCAUAUAUAACAUCAGAUCUUUAUGAUCUUUCAUCACAUUUUGAAAAGUAUGGUUCCACUGAACCUAAGCAGUAGGUUUGUAUUCAAGAAUACGAAGAAGUGGCCGGGCGCGGUGGCUC
RNAcentral lists this long non-coding RNA (934 nucleotides) under Homo sapiens (human). RNAcentral describes it as "HSALNT0381525". The record is from RNAcentral. Lineage: Eukaryota; Metazoa; Chordata; Mammalia; Primates; Hominidae.